Molecule: long non-coding RNA, 463 nt
Organism: Homalodisca vitripennis (glassy-winged sharpshooter)
Lineage: Eukaryota; Metazoa; Arthropoda; Insecta; Hemiptera; Cicadellidae
Exons: 2
Source: RefSeq, a predicted model, not a curated record
CGUGUUUCUAACAUAUUGAUUUGUUGAAAUCAAGAAACAGUGUAUAAAACUUUUGCAGUAACCUAUUUCGGAGACAUAAAUCAUUCAGAUUGCUCUAGGGUGAAACAUUGUGUUAUUUAAAAAAGCAUACAGGCGUCUUCCGUAUGAAAACCACUUUUAAAUUUUCGAAAUGUUGUCGUAGUGGCUUGAUAUAAAAUGGACUUAUAUGUGCAUUGCUGUCUCCCAGUGAGAGGUUAAAACAGUUAGUGCAAGGUAACCCACUCAACUGAAAUCUGGAAUUCUCUCUAUAUCUUCAAAUCCGAGUGUUACCAUAGCUCUCCAAAUGGUUGAUGAGAUGGAACGGAACUUAUAGACCAUGGCAGACAUCACAAAUAACUAAUUCUUUUCUUGACAUAAUGCUCUUUUCUGCUGACUUGAAUCCUGUGGAUAAAAUAAAUAUAAUAAACCUUAAAUUACUACUAUA